RNAcentral lists this ribosomal RNA (492 nucleotides) under uncultured bacterium. RNAcentral's name for it is "partial 16S ribosomal RNA". It matches the Rfam family "Bacterial small subunit ribosomal RNA", at positions 29 to 507 of the family's 1533-position model. The record is from RNAcentral.
AGUGAACGCUGGCGGUAGGCCUAACACAUGCAAGUCGAACGGCAGCACAGUAAGAGCUUGCUCUUACGGGUGGCGAGUGGCGGACGGGUGAGGAAUACAUCGGAAUCUACUUUUUCGUGGGGGAUAACGUAGGGAAACUUACGCUAAUACCGCAUACGACCUACGGGUGAAAGCAGGGGAUCUUCGGACCUUGCGCGAUUGGAUGAGCCGAUGUCGGAUUAGCUAGUUGGCGGGGUAAAGGCCCACCAAGGCGACGAUCCGUAGCUGGUCUGAGAGGAUGAUCAGCCACACUGGAACUGAGACACGGUCCAGACUCCUACGGGAGGCAGCAGUGGGGAAUAUUGGACAAUGGGCGCAAGCCUGAUCCAGCCAUACCGCGUGGGUGAAGAAGGCCUUUGGGUUGUAAAGCCCUUUUGUUGGGAAAGAAAAGCAGCAGGUUAAUACCCCGCUGUUCUGACGGUACCCAAAGAAUAAGCACCGGCUAACUUCGUG